This 464-nucleotide ribosomal RNA is filed under the name uncultured bacterium. Its description in RNAcentral is "partial 16S ribosomal RNA". It matches the Rfam family "Bacterial small subunit ribosomal RNA", at positions 28 to 507 of the family's 1533-position model. The record is from RNAcentral.
GACGAACGCUGGCGGCGUGCUUAACACAUGCAAGUCGAACGGUAAGGCCCUUUCUGUGGUACAGGAGUGGCGGACGGGUACGUAACACGUAGGUGUUCUUCCCUGCCCUUUGGGAUAGGCCUGAGAAACUGGGUCUGAUGCUGGAUAGGGCUACGCGCUGCAUGUCGCGUGGGGGUAAGCGUUUGGGGUGUGGGAUGGGCACGCGGGCCAUCCGCUUGUUGGUGGGGUGGUGGCCGACCAAGGCUACGACGGGUAGGCGGCCUGAGAGGGUGGCCGGCCACACUGGGACUGAGAUACGGCCCAGACUCCUACGGGGGGCAGCAGUGGGGAGGAUUGCACAAUGGGCGCAAGCCUGAUGCAGCGACGCCGCGUGGGGGAUGUCGGCCUUCGGGUUGUAAACCGCUUUCAGCACAGACGAAGCGUAAGUGACGGUAUGUGCAGAAGAAGCACCGGCCAACUACGUG